UUUCACGUUUUCAUGAGAUGGUGAUUUGUUCAAAGUAGAAGUGAUAGAUUGUAGAUUUUUUGAUGGGGGAUUGUCAUUUUCCUGUUUAGGAUUUUCUAGUCUUAUAGUACUUGAAAGACGCCCCAAAGUUUCUGCGUAAGCACGUUUUGAAGACGCGUCAAAAUUAAAACUUCAAGAGAAUUAUCUAGAAGAAAAAAAUGGAAAAUUGGACGAGCCGUUAAGUAAAUAAAAUAUCUUUGGGUUUCUUACGU
This is a long non-coding RNA of Hylaeus volcanicus, 251 nucleotides long. RefSeq lists it as uncharacterized. NCBI's taxonomy places the organism in Eukaryota, Metazoa, Arthropoda, Insecta, Hymenoptera, Colletidae. The record is from RefSeq and is a predicted model, not a curated record. The transcript is spliced from 3 exons.